UACGUAGGGGGCAAGCGUUGUCCGGAUUUAUUGGGCGUAAAGAGCGUGUAGGCGGCCUGGUAGGUCAGUUGUGAAAACUCGAGGCUCAACCUCGAGACGCCGAUUGAAACCACCAGGCUAGAGUCCGGAAGAGGAGAGUGGAAUUCCCGGUGUAGCGGUGAAAUGCGCAGAUAUCGGGAAGAACACCCGUGGCUAGGGCGGCUCUCUAGUACGGUACUGACGCUGAGACGCGAAAGCGUGGGGAGCGAACAGG
This 253-nucleotide ribosomal RNA is filed under the name uncultured bacterium. RNAcentral's name for it is "partial 16S ribosomal RNA". It matches the Rfam family "Bacterial small subunit ribosomal RNA", at positions 524 to 776 of the family's 1533-position model. The record is from RNAcentral.